Molecule: ribosomal RNA, 486 nt
Filed under: uncultured bacterium
Lineage: Bacteria
Description: partial 16S ribosomal RNA
Source: RNAcentral
GUAGUUAGCCGGGGCUUCCUCCCAUGAUACCGUCACUUCCUUCGUCUCAUGGGACAGAGGUUUACAACCCGAAGGCCUUCUUCCCUCACGCGGCGUUGCUGGGUCAGGCUUUCGCCCAUUGCCCAAUAUUCCCCACUGCUGCCUCCCGUAGGAGUCUGGACCGUUUCUCAGUUCCAGUGUGGCCGAUCACCCUCUCAGGUCGGCUACCCAUCGAUGGCUUGGUGCGCCGUUACCGCUCCAACUACCUAAUGGGACGCGAGCUCACCUCGCACCGGGUUUCCCCUUUGACCUCUGUGUCAUGUGACACUGUGGUCUCAUGUGGUAUUAGCACCUGUUUCCAAGUGUUAUCCCACUGUGCAAGACAGAUUACUCACGCGUUACUCACCCGUCCGCCGCUAAAACACUACCGAAGCAGUUGUCUCCGCUCGACUUGCAUGUGUUAGGCACGCCGCCAGCGUUCGUCCUGAGCCAUGAUACAACUACUGA